Molecule: non-coding RNA, 24 nt
Filed under: Arabidopsis thaliana (thale cress)
Lineage: Eukaryota; Viridiplantae; Streptophyta; Magnoliopsida; Brassicales; Brassicaceae
Source: RNAcentral
CAAUCAGAGCGCUCCGGACUUCGC